Molecule: ribosomal RNA, 450 nt
Filed under: uncultured bacterium
Lineage: Bacteria
Description: bacterial SSU rRNA
Rfam family: Bacterial small subunit ribosomal RNA
Source: RNAcentral
AACGAACGCUGGCGGCAUGCCUAACACAUGCAAGUCGAACGAAGUCUUCGGACUUAGUGGCGCACGGGUGCGUAACGCGUGGGAAUCUGCCCUUGGGUGCGGAAUAACUUCUCGAAAGGGAUGCUAAUACCGCAUAAUGUCGUAAGACCAAAGAUUUAUCGCCCAAGGAUGAGCCCGCGUAAGAUUAGCUAGUUGGUGGGGUAAAAGCCUACCAAGGCGACGAUCUUUAGCUGGUCUGAGAGGAUGAUCAGCCACACUGGGACUGAGACACGGCCCAGACUCCUACGGGAGGCAGCAGUGGGGAAUAUUGGGCAAUGGGCGAAAGCCUGAUCCAGCAAUGCCGCGUGCAGGAUGAAGGCCUUCGGGUCGUAAACUGCUUUUAUAAGUGAAGAAUAUGACGGUAACUUAUGAAUAAGCACCGGCUAACUACGUGCCAGCAGCCGCGGUAAU